Molecule: ribosomal RNA, 273 nt
Filed under: uncultured bacterium
Lineage: Bacteria
Description: partial 16S ribosomal RNA
Rfam family: Bacterial small subunit ribosomal RNA
Source: RNAcentral
UACAGAGGUCCCAAGCGUUGUUCGGAUUCACUGGGCGUAAAGGGUGCGUAGGUGGCGGGGUAAGUUUGAUGUGAAAUCUCCGAGCUUAACUCGGAAAUGGCAUUGAAUACUAUUCUGCUCGAGGUUUGGAGGGGGGACUGGAAUUCUCGGUGUAGCAGUGAAAUGCGUAGAUAUCGAGAGGAACACCAGUGGCGAAGGCGAGUCCCUGGACAACACCUGACACUGAGGCACGAAAGCUAGGGGAGCAAACAGGAUUAGAAACCCCCGUAGUCC